Long non-coding RNA from Cebus imitator (Panamanian white-faced capuchin), 641 nucleotides. RefSeq lists it as uncharacterized. NCBI's taxonomy places the organism in Eukaryota, Metazoa, Chordata, Mammalia, Primates, Cebidae. The transcript has 4 exons. The record is from RefSeq and is a predicted model, not a curated record.
UUUCCCCAUUCUUCCAGAAAAGUAGACCUGGGAGGAAAGACUGGGUUUUCCAGCGCCUGCUGACUUUCUUGGAAAUGAUGGGCAUAGUGCCCAAUUUGCUAUUGCCCUAGUUUCCAAUGGCUACUUCUAAAGAGGAAAGCGAUCCUCUCCUUUCUUGCAGGCUGAAACAAGGAGGAGGUGAGGAGGGUUCUCUCACCACCAUCAGCAAAUGGAUGGCAAACUUAUUGAUGUCCUUAAAAUAGGGGCUCCCAUGAGUCAAGAACUUCAUAUGUGAUUCCAUGAAGCUUUGUGAACACCAGCUAUGCUUUACCACCACUAAGCAGUACUACUGAGGAGAUCGAGGGCCAAGAACUUCAAAAUUUUCAUGAUCAAGAGCCACCCUUUCCAGCAAGAAUCACCACCAAUGGCUUCAUGGAAGAAGUGGCAUUUGAAGAAUAGUAUGAUUUUGACAAGUGGAGCUGGGAGAGGAGGACACUUCUGAAUAAGGAAGCAGCAUGUUCAAAGGCCAGGGGGCCACUUGGUUGCACAGGCUGAACCAUAUUCACCUCUAGGAAGCCAUUCAGGUAACCGUGUGGAAUUGGCCACAUGGCAGCCCUGCUGGAAAGCACAGGCCCAGGAACCUCGAAACUGACCUGCUGGAG